This is a long non-coding RNA of Panthera uncia (snow leopard), 2639 nucleotides long. RefSeq lists it as uncharacterized. The record is from RefSeq and is a predicted model, not a curated record. The transcript is spliced from 6 exons. NCBI's taxonomy places the organism in Eukaryota, Metazoa, Chordata, Mammalia, Carnivora, Felidae.
UGCGCCACCCCGGGCCGACGGCGAGAAGGGAGCGCGUUUCCGGCUCUCAGGAAUGGCGGGGGGCCGCGGACGGGAGAGCGCUCGUCCCGCAAGAUCUCUCUUGCCCUCUGCGGGACUGAGGCGCCCUCUGCGGGACUGAGGCUUCCCGCGAAGCGGGCGUGUCCGCUUGCAGCCCUCGCUCAGGCUCCGGGUUUAGCUGCGGAGUCUCAGAGAAUGAGAGAGGUGACACCAGAGGUCCCCAGGGAGCAAGGCCCGCGCCUCCUGAAAACACACAGGCUACCAGGGGGCAAGAUGACAUUAGCCACUGUUUCCAGAUACUUCCUUCAGAUAGAGGAGCGGAUUGAUAGAUGAAGCAUAAAACAAGACCAGAUGCUGUGGUUUCCAGGAUGCACUUGGCUCCCCAUCCUUUAUAACCUGGAGCAUUUUUUUGCCUUUCAGAUGUACAACACAGUGAUUCAACAACUCUCUACCUUACUCAGCGCUCUCCGUGGUCCGUUCCUAACGUGUCCAUCAGAGACCAGUCCCAUCAGGAGAGAAAAACAGAGUGCAAGCCGAGGAGGGGCAGAGACAGAGGGAGACACAGAAUCGGAAGCAGGCUCCGGCUCUGAGCUGUCAGCACAGAGCCGGACACCAGGUUCAAAGUCAUGAACCUUGAGAUAUGACCUGAGCCGAAGUCGGACGCUUCACUGACUGAGCCACCCAGGCGCCCCAAGAACUUUUAAGAAAGGGAAGUGUGGUUAAUAUAAAAUAAACCCCAUCUCCCACAGCAGAUCAUGGCUUUCAGGAUAUGAGCUCAUGAACAACAGAGUGGAAAAGAGUCUUUUUUUUAAAUUUAUUAUCAAUAUUAUUGUUGGAUUCUCUUGUAAAUUCCCUAUUUUCCGUGAAACCCGGAACUUGCCAAUGAAGGUUUUAGCUAACAGGACACUUUUCAGGAAUGUAUCUGUUACUACCUCCAGUUGGUGAGAGAUGACUGUGACAGAUUUAUCAUGUUUUAAUAGAGAGCUAAAGAGGAAGAGUGGAGGGGCGAGGACACAGAUUUAUCGCCACUUACUUGUUCAUUUGGAACUUUUACUGACAGAAAAAAUAUUUCCUCUUUUUUUUUUUUAAAGAAGAUUUUAAAAUCUCAUUCUCUAGGAAGUAAAUUCAGGAGUAAGAAAUGCCACACCCGUUCUACAUAGUACAGUUGAUUGUUAAUUUCAUUGACUAUUGACAUGCUGAGUGGUGGGUUAAGCUUGUAACCCAUCUCUUUACUCAAGUGAGAAACCAACAUUAAGAAAGAUAGGACGUGCAUUUUUCCCCUUGAUAAAGACACCUGCUGUUCCAGUGUCAUAGAAACGGUUAGAGAAGAUCUAGAUACAGAUUUAGAAGGAUAGAAUUUCCCGGAAUCACAUUCUCUCAGGAUUGAAAGGAAUAUUAAAUGUCAUUGACUCUUCAACUCAAGGCAGUGUAGAAUUGUAGAAAGGAUGUCUGCUAUGGAAUUGAGGGGACCUGGGUCAGAUCAUAGCCUUGCCACAUCGUAGCUAUGUGUUUUAGGAAAUUUAAUCUCUCUGAGCCUUAGUUUCUCGCCUAUAACUUGUGAAUAGUGACUACAUUAUAAGUUUGGGGAGGAUUGAAGGUACUGUAUGUAAAGGACCUAGGACAGACACAAUAGGCAUUUAGUAAAUGACUGGUGGUUGUUAUCAAAAUUGUGCCACCAACUGGUCAUAAAACUUACUGGAACAUUCCCAGUGAUGUGAUUCCCAACUGUUGGGAAGCCCAGGUCAUGUUUGAAGAGCUCUUCUGUGUUCGCCCUUUUACAGAGCCAAAUUCCUUCCCCCCUAGAACUUCGAUCUGCUGUUCCCAUUCUUGCCGGCGGGGCUGCGUAGGCUAUGUCUGUCACCUGAUUGAAUGCGCCGCCGAGAAUGGAACAAAUAUGCCUUCAGAGUGGUAUGACUGGUGAGGACACUACAGACGUAUCAGCACAACUCAGAGUCAGACUAGCUCCCUUGUCCUGGCAGCCACCAGAUACCUACUGAACUUGCUGUUAACGAAGCCCGUUCAUCAUCCUCACAAGAGCUGAGCCAAAGUUUGUCACGGUUUUGAGGGAGAGACUCAAGCGCAGAAACUUACAAUGAAAUCUUUAUUAUAUUAAUUAAUAAAUUGGUAAAAUUUCACUUGAGUCAUGCUAGUAUUUUUGAAUAUUUCAUCAAUUCUGCCGUUCUGUGGCAUACGUAUACGGUAAUGUAACUGACAAACGGGCAUUUUCUUUAACUGACACUCAAUAUAAUAUUUAAUAUGUGCCAGGCACUAUUCUAAGUGCUUUGCAUAUAUUAACUCACUCAAUUCUCACUCAUAUUUACCCUAUGUAGUAAGUACUAUUAUUAUCUACAGACAAGGAAACCAAGGCACCGAGAAGUAAAGUAACAGAGUAACACUAGCUUUCCAAGGUCAAAUAGCUAGUAGAUGGCAGAAUUAGGAUUUGAACCAGUCUGUCUGGUUCCAGAGCCUGUGUUCAUACUGAUGCCCUUCCCCAAAUUUGUUGAAAUUAAAAAAAAAAAAUCUGUUACUUAGAUUGUUAGAACUUCUUAAAAGCAAAAAACAAAGUAUAGUGAAUUAGUGCUGCUAGAUUCACAACCUCCAAGCUUUAUGCAAACAUUAUU